ACAUCAAGGGGUGCCUGUGUCUUUACGGGCUGAGAUUAUACCCUCAUAACCUGAUGCAGGUAAUGCUGCCGUAGGGAAGAGCC
Molecule: non-coding RNA, 83 nt
Filed under: human gut metagenome
Also listed under: 1 other name
Description: TPP riboswitch (THI element)
Rfam family: TPP riboswitch aptamer (THI element)
About the family: Vitamin B(1) in its active form thiamin pyrophosphate (TPP) is an essential coenzyme that is synthesised by coupling of pyrimidine and thiazole moieties in bacteria. The previously detected thiamin-regulatory element, thi box was extended, resulting in a new, highly conserved RNA secondary structure, the THI element, which is widely distributed in eubacteria and also occurs in some archaea.
Source: RNAcentral